AGUGAACGCUGGCGGUAGGCCUAACACAUGCAAGUCGAACGGCAGCACAGUAAGAGCUUGCUCUUACGGGUGGCGAGUGGCGGACGGGUGAGGAAUACAUCGGAAUCUACUUUUUCGUGGGGGAUAACGUAGGGAAACUUACGCUAAUACCGCAUACGACCUACGGGUGAAGGCAGGGGAUCUUCGGACCUUGCGCGAUUGAAUGAGCCGAUGUCGGAUUAGCUAGUUGGCGGGGUAAGGGCCCACCAAGGCGACGAUCCGUAGCUGGUCUGAGAGGAUGAUCAGCCACACUGGAACUGAGACACGGUCCAGACUCCUACGGGAGGCAGCAGUGGGGAAUAUUGGACAAUGGGCGCAAGCCUGAUCCAGCCAUACCGCGUGGGUGAAGAAGGCCUUCGGGUUGUAAAGCCCUUUUGUUGGGAAAGAAAAGCAGCAGGUUAAUACCCCGCUGUUCUGACGGUACCCAAAGAAUAAGCACCGGCUAACUUCGUG
Molecule: ribosomal RNA, 492 nt
Filed under: uncultured bacterium
Lineage: Bacteria
Description: partial 16S ribosomal RNA
Rfam family: Bacterial small subunit ribosomal RNA
Source: RNAcentral